This 2468-nucleotide ribosomal RNA is filed under the name Escherichia coli. Its description in RNAcentral is "partial 23S ribosomal RNA". It matches the Rfam family "Bacterial large subunit ribosomal RNA", at positions 496 to 2925 of the family's 2925-position model. Lineage: Bacteria; Pseudomonadati; Pseudomonadota; Gammaproteobacteria; Enterobacterales; Enterobacteriaceae. The record is from RNAcentral.
CAGUACCGUGAGGGAAAGGCGAAAAGAACCCCGGCGAGGGGAGUGAAAAAGAACCUGAAACCGUGUACGUACAAGCAGUGGGAGCACAGAGCAAUCUGUGUGACUGCGUACCUUUUGUAUAAUGGGUCAGCGACUUAUAUUCUGUAGCAAGGUUAACCGAAUAGGGGAGCCGAAGGGAAACCGAGUCUUAACUGGGCGUUAAGUUGCAGGGUAUAGACCCGAAACCCGGUGAUCUAGCCAUGGGCAGGUUGAAGGUUGGGUAACACUAACUGGAGGACCGAACCGACUAAUGUUGAAAAAUUAGCGGAUGACUUGUGGCUGGGGGUGAAAGGCCAAUCAAACCGGGAGAUAGCUGGUUCUCCCCGAAAGCUAUUUAGGUAGCGCCUCGUGAAUUCAUCUCCGGGGGUAGAGCACUGUUUCGGCAAGGGGGUCAUCCCGACUUACCAACCCGAUGCAAACUGCGAAUACCGGAGAAUGUUAUCACGGGAGACACACGGCGGGUGCUAACGUCCGUCGUGAAGAGGGAAACAACCCAGACCGCCAGCUAAGGUCCCAAAGUCAUGGUUAAGUGGGAAACGAUGUGGGAAGGCCCAGACAGCCAGGAUGUUGGCUUAGAAGCAGCCAUCAUUUAAAGAAAGCGUAAUAGCUCACUGGUCGAGUCGGCCUGCGCGGAAGAUGUAACGGGGCUAAACCAUGCACCGAAGCUGCGGCAGCGACACUGUGUGUUGUUGGGUAGGGGAGCGUUCUGUAAGCCUGUGAAGGUGUGCUGUGAGGCAUGCUGGAGGUAUCAGAAGUGCGAAUGCUGACAUAAGUAACGAUAAAGCGGGUGAAAAGCCCGCUCGCCGGAAGACCAAGGGUUCCUGUCCAACGUUAAUCGGGGCAGGGUGAGUCGACCCCUAAGGCGAGGCCGAAAGGCGUAGUCGAUGGGAAACAGGUUAAUAUUCCUGUACUUGGUGUUACUGCGAAGGGGGGACGGAGAAGGCUAUGUUGGCCGGGCGACGGUUGUCCCGGUUUAAGCGUGUAGGCUGGUUUUCCAGGCAAAUCCGGAAAAUCAAGGCUGAGGCGUGAUGACGAGGCACUACGGUGCUGAAGCAACAAAUGCCCUGCUUCCAGGAAAAGCCUCUAAGCAUCAGGUAACAUCAAAUCGUACCCCAAACCGACACAGGUGGUCAGGUAGAGAAUACCAAGGCGCUUGAGAGAACUCGGGUGAAGGAACUAGGCAAAAUGGUGCCGUAACUUCGGGAGAAGGCACGCUGAUAUGUAGGUGAAGUCCCUCGCGGAUGGAGCUGAAAUCAGUCGAAGAUACCAGCUGGCUGCAACUGUUUAUUAAAAACACAGCACUGUGCAAACACGAAAGUGGACGUAUACGGUGUGACGCCUGCCCGGUGCCGGAAGGUUAAUUGAUGGGGUCAGCGCAAGCGAAGCUCUUGAUCGAAGCCCCGGUAAACGGCGGCCGUAACUAUAACGGUCCUAAGGUAGCGAAAUUCCUUGUCGGGUAAGUUCCGACCUGCACGAAUGGCGUAAUGAUGGCCAGGCUGUCUCCACCCGAGACUCAGUGAAAUUGAACUCGCUGUGAAGAUGCAGUGUACCCGCGGCAAGACGGAAAGACCCCGUGAACCUUUACUAUAGCUUGACACUGAACAUUGAGCCUUGAUGUGUAGGAUAGGUGGGAGGCUUUGAAGUGUGGACGCCAGUCUGCAUGGAGCCGACCUUGAAAUACCACCCUUUAAUGUUUGAUGUUCUAACGUGGACCCGUGAUCCGGGUUGCGGACAGUGUCUGGUGGGUAGUUUGACUGGGGCGGUCUCCUCCUAAAGAGUAACGGAGGAGCACGAAGGUUGGCUAAUCCUGGUCGGACAUCAGGAGGUUAGUGCAAUGGCAUAAGCCAGCUUGACUGCGAGCGUGACGGCGCGAGCAGGUGCGAAAGCAGGUCAUAGUGAUCCGGUGGUUCUGAAUGGAAGGGCCAUCGCUCAACGGAUAAAAGGUACUCCGGGGAUAACAGGCUGAUACCGCCCAAGAGUUCAUAUCGACGGCGGUGUUUGGCACCUCGAUGUCGGCUCAUCACAUCCUGGGGCUGAAGUAGGUCCCAAGGGUAUGGCUGUUCGCCAUUUAAAGUGGUACGCGAGCUGGGUUUAGAACGUCGUGAGACAGUUCGGUCCCUAUCUGCCGUGGGCGCUGGAGAACUGAGGGGGGCUGCUCCUAGUACGAGAGGACCGGAGUGGACGCAUCACUGGUGUUCGGGUUGUCAUGCCAAUGGCACUGCCCGGUAGCUAAAUGCGGAAGAGAUAAGUGCUGAAAGCAUCUAAGCACGAAACUUGCCCCGAGAUGAGUUCUCCCUGACCCUUUAAGGGUCCUGAAGGAACGUUGAAGACGACGACGUUGAUAGGCCGGGUGUGUAAGCGCAGCGAUGCGUUGAGCUAACCGGUACUAAUGAACCGUGAGGCUUAACCUUACAACGCCGAAGGUGUUU